GACGAACGCUGGCGGCGUGCUUAACACAUGCAAGUCGAACGGAAAGGCCUGCUUUCCCUUGUGGAUUGCGGGUACUCGAGUGGCGAACGGGUGAGUAACACGUGAGUGAUCUGCCCCCAACUUGGGUAUAAGCCUGGGAAACUGGGUCUAAUUCCCGAUAGGACUGCAGGGUGGUGCCUGUGGUGGAAAACGAUUUUCUAGUGGUUGGGGAUGAGCUCGCGGCCUACCAGCUUGUUGGUGGGGUAAUGGCCUACCAAGGCGGCGACGGGUAGCCGGCCUGAGAGGGUGGACGGGCACAUUGGGACUGAGAUACGGCCCAGACUCCUACGGGAGGCAGCAGUGGGGAAUAUUGCACAAUGGGCGGAAGCCUGAUGCAGCGACGCCGCGUGGGGGAUGACGGCCUUCGGGUUGUAAACUCCUUUCGACCGCGAGGAAGCCACCUGGUUGGAAGGGUGGUGACGGUAGUGGUAGAAGAAGCACCGGCUAACUACGUG
This 494-nucleotide ribosomal RNA is filed under the name uncultured bacterium. Its description in RNAcentral is "partial 16S ribosomal RNA". It matches the Rfam family "Bacterial small subunit ribosomal RNA", at positions 28 to 507 of the family's 1533-position model. The record is from RNAcentral.